RNAcentral lists this ribosomal RNA (265 nucleotides) under uncultured bacterium. Its description in RNAcentral is "partial 16S ribosomal RNA". It matches the Rfam family "Bacterial small subunit ribosomal RNA", at positions 1053 to 1319 of the family's 1533-position model. The record is from RNAcentral.
CGUCAGUUCGUGCCGUGAGGUGUUUGGUUAAGUCCAGCAACGAACGCAACCCCUGUGACCAGUUGCCAGCGCGUAAAGGCGGGAACUCUGGUCAGACUGCCUGUUUACACAGGAGGAAGGUGGGGAUGACGUCAAGUCAGUAUGGCCCUUACAUCCGGGGCUGCACACGUGCUACAAUGGCCGGUACAAAGGGAAGCGAGACCGCGAGGUGGAGCAAACCCCCAGAGCCGGCCCCAGUUCAGAUUGCGGUCUGCAACCCGACCGC